UGGGGGAUAUUGCACAAUGGGCGAAAGCCUGAUGCAGCGACGCCGCGUGGGGGAUGAAGGCUUUCGGAUUGUAAACCUCUUUCGCUAUCGAACAAGGCCCGCUUAGGGUGGGUUGAGGGUAGGUGGAGAAGAAGCGCCGGCUAACUACGUGCCAGCAGCCGCGGUAAUACGUAGGGCGCGAGCGUUGUCCGGAAUUAUUGGGCGUAAAGGGCUUGUAGGCGGCUUGUUGCGCCUGCUGUGAAAACGCGGGGCUUAACUUCGCGCGUGCAGUGGGUACGGGCAGGCUUGAGUGUGGUAGGGGUGACUGGAAUUCCAGGUGUAGCGGUGGAAUGCGCAGAUAUCUGGAGGAACACCGAUGGCGAAGGCAGGUCACUGGGCCAUUACUGACGCUGAGGAGCGAAAGCAUGGGUAGCGAACAGG
This 420-nucleotide ribosomal RNA is filed under the name bacterium. RNAcentral's name for it is "partial 16S ribosomal RNA". It matches the Rfam family "Bacterial small subunit ribosomal RNA", at positions 355 to 776 of the family's 1533-position model. The record is from RNAcentral.